AAUAGAUACCCUGGUAGUCCACGCCGUAAACGAUGAGUGCUAAGUGUUAGGGGGUUUCCGCCCCCUUAGUGCUGCAGCUAACGCAUUAAGCACUCCGCCUGGGGAGUACGGUCGCAAGACUGAAACUCAAAGGAAUUGACGGGGGCCCGCACAAGCGGUGGAGCAUGUGGUUUAAUUCGAAGCAACGCGAAGAACCUUACCAGGUCUUGACAUCCCACUGACCGCUAUGGAGACAUAGUUUUCCCUUCGGGGACAGUGGUGACAGGUGGUGCAUGGUUGUCGUCAGCUCGUGUCGUGAGAUGUUGGGUUAAGUCCCGCAACGAGCGCAACCCUUGAUCUUAGUUGCCAUCAUUUAGUUGGGCACUCUAAGGUGACUGCCGGUGACAAACCUGAGGAAGGUGGGGAUGACGUCAAAUCAUCAUGCCCCUUAUGACCUGGGCUACACACGUGCUACAAUGGACGGUACAAACGGUUGCCAACCCGCGAGGGGAGCUAAUCCGAUAAAACCGUUCUCAGUUCGGAUUGUAGGCUGCAACUCGCCUAC
This 544-nucleotide ribosomal RNA is filed under the name uncultured bacterium. Its description in RNAcentral is "bacterial SSU rRNA". It matches the Rfam family "Bacterial small subunit ribosomal RNA", at positions 777 to 1319 of the family's 1533-position model. The record is from RNAcentral.